GCUAGGAUGAACGCUAGCUACAGGCUUAACACAUGCAAGUCGAGGGCAUCGAGAAGAAAGCUUGCUUCUUGUCGGCGACCGGCGCACGGGUGAGUAACGCGUAUCCAACCUACCCUUUACACUGGGAUAGCCCGUUGAAAAGCGGAUUAAUACCAGAUGCAGUCCUUUGCGGACAUCUAAGUAGGACGAAAGGUUUUUCCGGUAGAGGAUGGGGAUGCGUCCGAUUAGCUUGUUGGCGGGGUAACGGCCCACCAAGGCGACGAUCGGUAGGGGUUCUGAGAGGAAGGUCCCCCACACUGGUACUGAGACACGGACCAGACUCCUACGGGAGGCAGCAGUGAGGAAUAUUGGUCAAUGGGCGUAAGCCUGAACCAGCCAAAAGUAGCGUGCAGGAUGACGGCCCUAUGGGUUGUAAACUGCUUUUAUAGGGGAAUAAAGUUCGGGACGUGUCCCGUUUUGUAUGUACCCUAUGAAUAAGGACCGGCUAAUUCCGUGCCAGCAGCGGC
Molecule: ribosomal RNA, 506 nt
Filed under: uncultured bacterium
Lineage: Bacteria
Description: bacterial SSU rRNA
Rfam family: Bacterial small subunit ribosomal RNA
Source: RNAcentral